AUCUUUUUAUAUAAAAAAGAAGAUGUGGUAUGAUUGCCAAUGAGACAACUGUCCACAAGAGACCAAAAUGACACAGACAUUAACAACUAUAGGUCACCGUACGGCCUUCAACAAUAAGCAAAGCCCAUACCGCAUAGUCAGCUAUAAAAGGACCCGAUAAGACAAUGUAAAACAAUUCAAACGAGAAAACUAACGGCCUUAUUUAUGUAAAAAAUGAACGAAAAACAAAUAUGUAACACAUAAACAAACGACAACCACUGAAUUACAGGCUCCUGACUUGGGACAGACACAUACAUAAAUAAUGUG
This 306-nucleotide long non-coding RNA is filed under the name Mytilus galloprovincialis (Mediterranean mussel). The record is from RNAcentral. Lineage: Eukaryota; Metazoa; Mollusca; Bivalvia; Mytilida; Mytilidae.